AUUGAACGCUGGCGGCAUGCUUUACACAUGCAAGUCGAACGGUAACAGCACUUCGGUGGCUGACGAGUGGCGAACGGGUGAGUAAUACAUCGGAACGUGCCUAGUAGUGGGGGAUAACUACUCGAAAGAGUAGCUAAUACCGCAUGAGAUCUAAGGAUGAAAGCAGGGGACCUUCGGGCCUUGCGCUACUAGAGCGGCUGAUGGCAGAUUAGGUAGUUGGUGGGAUAAAAGCUUACCAAGCCGACGAUCUGUAGCUGGUCUGAGAGGACGACCAGCCACACUGGGACUGAGACACGGCCCAGACUCCUACGGGAGGCAGCAGCGGGGAAUUUUGGACAAUGGGCGCAAGCCUGAUCCAGCAAUGCCGCGUGCAGGAUGAAGGCCUUCGGGUUGUAAAAUGCUUUUGUACGGAACGAAAAGCCCUCUUCUAAUACAGGAGGGUCAUGACGGUACCGUAAGAAUAAGCACCGGCUAACUACGUG
RNAcentral lists this ribosomal RNA (482 nucleotides) under uncultured bacterium. Its description in RNAcentral is "partial 16S ribosomal RNA". It matches the Rfam family "Bacterial small subunit ribosomal RNA", at positions 30 to 507 of the family's 1533-position model. The record is from RNAcentral.